Long non-coding RNA from Xenopus laevis (African clawed frog), 1414 nucleotides. RefSeq lists it as uncharacterized. NCBI's taxonomy places the organism in Eukaryota, Metazoa, Chordata, Amphibia, Anura, Pipidae. The transcript is spliced from 3 exons. The record is from RefSeq and is a predicted model, not a curated record.
CCUCCUGAUAGGUCGGGUUCGGCGGUGGGUGGCCGCCCGCUCUCUCACUCCUAAUCCUAAUAAGAAACUGUGCUGCAGCGUCUCCGGCUGUUUCCGGAGCCAUGCGACACGCCCCUUCUGCUUGCCUUUCAGCAGCAACAUCAAUAUUCCCAGCUGCCGAGGAAAUGAACAGGGAGCCAUAGUAACGGCUGGAAAGCGGUGUUGGUAGCGACAUCUAGAGGAUGUGCAGGAGCAUGGGUGGGCCGUGCCGGCUCAGACCCACUGCACAGAACAGACGCUCCUCACCUCCCCUCCCCUGCACGAUCGCAUGAAGAAGAUUGUGCGAAAUGCCCCUAAGGGUCCACAGUUUGGGAACCACUGCUGUAGUUUGUCUAUUGAUGAGGAGGAACCAUACUGUCGUGCAAAACAAUAAAACCAUGAGUAUACAGAUAAACCUGCCAGUGAAAAAGCUAAAGUCUCCAUGUUCGCAUGACAGUCACACAAAAGAAUUUUCAGCAUGCCAUUUCUUAAAUACACUCAUUUUUGCAACCGUCCAGUUACACUAGAUAUUCAGGAACACAGCUAUCAAAGAAUUCAGAAAACUUACAGUAAAAGCUCAUGAGGUUACAAAACAUUGCAUUCAAGAAGAGGUUAGAUUGUAAUAGAGAAGAGUGACUAUAUUCUAUGGCUUUGACUAAAGGCAGAGACUGACAAACCCCCUAGGUUAGGGUUUCCAUGUUCAAGGAAAAGACAUCGCUAAUAGUUUUCCCAACAGAAUUUCUUUCUAACAAACUGUAAACCCUAGAGCCAUGCUAUGUAUGGGAGUUGUCAGGGAUUACUAUGAAAAGGAGGGAGUCCUUAAGGCAAUAGCUGUCAACAACCCACAGGAACUCAGAAGUAAAAGUCUGAAGAACAGGAACAGGAUUGUGAUGAAGCGGGCAAAUGCACAAGGACAGCGUGGGAUAUGGCACAAGGAUAGGCUAAAGCGGGACGGAGUGGGAGAAGGCACAAGGAUAGGCUAAAGUGGGAAGGAGUGGGAGAAGGCACAAAGACAAGCUAAAGUGGGACAGAGUGGGAGAAGGCCCAAAGGAUAGGCUAAAGUGGGAAGGAGUGGGAAAAGGCACAAGGAUAGGCUAAAGUGGGAAGGAGUGGGGAAGGCACAAGGACAGGCUGAAGUGGGACAGGGUGGGAGAAGGCACAAGGAUAGACUAAAGUGGGAAGGAGUGGGAGAAGGCACAAGGAUAGGCUAAAGUGGGACGGAGUGGGAGAAGGCACAAGGAUAGGCUAAAGGAUAGGCUAAAGUGGGAAGGAGUGGGAGAAGGCACAAGGAUAGGCUAAAUUGGGAAGGAGUGGGAGAAUAACCAAGAAAACACUGGCACUCAAAGGCAAGUAACAGCAGGGUUAUACCCUUGCGUAUUUAUUCUGCAAACGUGCA